CCUACGGGAGGCAGCAGUGAGGAAUCUUGGUCAAUGGGCGCGAGCCUGAACCAGCCAAGUAGCGUGAAUGAUGACUGCCCUACGGGUUGUAAACUUCUUUUAUAAAGGAAUAAAGUGAGGCACGUGUGCCUUUUUGUAUGUACUUUAUGAAUAAGGAUCGGCUAACUCCGUGCCAGCAGCCGCGGUAAUACGGAGGAUCCGAGCGUUAUCCGGAUUGAUUGUGUUUAAAGGGAGCGUAGAUGGGGUGUUAAGUCCGUUGUGAAAGUUUACGGCUCAACCGUAAAAGUGCAAUUGAUACUGGCAGUCUUGAGUACAGUUGAGGUAGGCGGAAUUCGUGGUGUAGCGGUGAAAUGCUUAGAUAUCACGAAGAACUCCGAUUGCGAAGGCAGCUUACCAAGCUACUUCUGACGUUGAGGCACGAAAGCGUGGGGAGCAAACAGGAUUAGAUACCCGAGUAGUC
Molecule: ribosomal RNA, 460 nt
Filed under: uncultured bacterium
Lineage: Bacteria
Description: partial 16S ribosomal RNA
Rfam family: Bacterial small subunit ribosomal RNA
Source: RNAcentral